GGGGAUGGACCUCCAGAUUUCCUUACUGGAAAACAAGCUCAGGGCUCCCACUGAUUGUACAUUAUGGUGAGACGUGGUCUUGUAACACAGUGGUUAAGAAUGUGACUUUGGAGCCAGCCUGCUAGGGGCUGAAUUCUGACUCAGCCAUUUAUUAACUGUGUGACCUUAGGUCAUAGAAUUUUCCACACUCCUUGACGGAGGUUCUUAACCCUUAUCCAUCAGCAUUCUCAGACAGCACCUCCGGUUAGGGACAGUAUCUGACCGUCCGACAUCCCUGCAGCCCCCAUGCUGUCACACAGACUCAGCCUCAGGUAGAUGGUUUCCGUAGAUGGUGGCUUUCUUUGGACCCUUGAUAUCAACCAGUUACUAUUUGACUCUUCUGCAGAACCCCAUGUUGACCCCUGCUUUGAGGUGGCAGCGUUAACACUACUCUUUGUUAUAAGCUCUCGUCUGGGGCAACUCAGGAGAACCUCAGCAAGGCCCACAUUCUCCCGGUGAAGCCACAGAACCACAGGGAGAAAUCCAUGGACUUGGCCUCGCUCUCUAGGGGACCAGAUGUGCAGAGGUAAUGAAUACCAGGGAAUCAGGAAACCACUGGAUCAGUUCUUUGAGCCAUAGAACAACACUCAUCCCAGCAGCUGGGAAGCUAUCUGCAAAAGUCCAUCUGCAGAAAGGGCUUCCUGGUCUUGCGUGUGGCUGGGCCAUUUCUCUGGAUGCAGGUUUUUCAUUAUACAGUCUUCUCAAAGGACCACCUGCUCUCAACACC
RNAcentral lists this non-coding RNA (766 nucleotides) under Pongo abelii (Sumatran orangutan). Lineage: Eukaryota; Metazoa; Chordata; Mammalia; Primates; Hominidae. The record is from RNAcentral.